AUGUCCAUACAUGUAGGUAUGAGUGGGACUGGGUCCAUCUGUACAACAUGAAAAGACAGGUGCAAGACAAAAAGAGCAAACUCCAAAGGCGAGGUCAAACAAACACGAUAUCACCCCAAAACAUCCUUGUUGGUGGUCAUGACAGAGUGCAAACCAGCUCACAUGUUCUCUGACUGCAGCAUUCUUAUCUGUAUGUUUGCAGUAUGUAGAUUACUCACACCGUGUUACCUUGAAUUCUGGAAGAAAACUUUGUUUUUCUCGCAUGCCUCCACGGUGAAACGGAGAAUCAAAAAACAGAAGAAAGGUCUUGAUGCAUUGAAAUAAAUUGCGUCCAGGUUUAACAAUAACAAAACUAUAUCAAAACAUUUGUUUACAAACUCUCACUCAACUCGUGCAGUAUAAUCAAAGUCUCGUUUAUCCAGUCGUAUGCUCACUACUUCCCAAACACAUCCAUCUUCGCUAAAACCUUACUAUUCAAAACAGAUCCUCCACUAUCGUCUGUCUACCGGGUUGUUGUUAAAUGCAGCCUCCGUCUACUUCAAUUCAUCAAGAGUUUACUUAGUUUUUGGAUUCACCGUUCACUGUCAAGGCAUGCGAGAAAAACAAAGUUAUCUCCAAGAAUUCAAGCUCAGCAUGCCUGUGAUGGGACGUCUGACUGUGAAGGGGGCCUUGGACUGAAGGAAGCAUCGAUAGGCCCGACGUUCUCUCCCCCUUUUCCUGAGCGGUUCACGUGAG
Molecule: long non-coding RNA, 735 nt
Organism: Sebastes umbrosus (honeycomb rockfish)
Lineage: Eukaryota; Metazoa; Chordata; Actinopteri; Perciformes; Sebastidae
Exons: 2
Source: RefSeq, a predicted model, not a curated record